CUUAAGCAUAUCAAUAAGCGGAGGAAAAGAAACUAACAAGGAUUCCCCUAGUAACUGCGAGUGAAGCGGGAAAAGCUCAAAUUUAAAAUCUGGCGGUCUUUGGCCGUCCGAGUUGUAGUCUGGAGAAGUGCUUUCCGCGCUGGACCGUGUAUAAGUCUCUUGGAACAGAGCGUCAUAGAGGGUGAGAAUCCCGUCUUUGACACGGACUACCAGUGCUUUGUGAUGCGCUCUCAAAGAGUCGAGUUGUUUGGGAAUGCAGCUCAAAAUGGGUGGUGAAUUCCAUCUAAAGCUAAAUAUUGGCGAGAGACCGAUAGCGAACAAGUACCGUGAGGGAAAGAUGAAAAGCACUUUGGAAAGAGAGUUAAACAGUACGUGAAAUUGCUGAAAGGGAAACGCUUGAAGUCAGUCGCGUUGUCCGGAACUCAGCCUUGCUUUUGCUUGGUGCACUUUCCGGAUGACGGGUCAGCAUCGAUUUUGACCGUCGGAAAAGGGCUGGAGUAAUGUGGCACCUCCGGGUGUGUUAUAGACUCUGGUCGCAUACGGCGGUUGGGAUCGAGGAACGCAGCGCGCCGCAAGGCAGGGGUUCGCCCACUUUCGCGCUUAGGAUGCUGGCAUAAUGGCUUUAAACGACCCCGCUUGAAACACGGACCAAGGAGUCUAACAUACCUGCGAGUGUUUGGGUGGAAAACCCGAGCGCGUAAUGAAAGUGAAAGUUGAGAUCCCUGUCGUGGGGAGCAUCGACGCCCGGACCAGACGUUCUCUGACGGAUCCGCGGUAGAGCAUGUAUGUUGGGACCCGAAAGAUGGUGAACUAUGCCUGAAUAGGGUGAAGCCAGAGGAAACUCUGGUGGAGGCUCGUAGCGAUUCUGACGUGCAAAUCGAUCGUCAAAUUUGGGUAUAGGG
Molecule: ribosomal RNA, 902 nt
Filed under: Ganoderma ellipsoideum
Lineage: Eukaryota; Fungi; Basidiomycota; Agaricomycetes; Polyporales; Polyporaceae
Description: partial large subunit ribosomal RNA
Rfam family: Eukaryotic large subunit ribosomal RNA
Source: RNAcentral